GGGGGCGACAGGCUUCGACGGGGUAAGUGAAGCUGUGGCCGCGUGCCCAGGUCCUCGGGUUCCUGGUAAAACACUCGGGAAAUUUUUAACUGCCAACAACAACUUGGCCCUCGCUGCGUAACUUCGGUUUCGCCGAGUGCUCCAGCGGAAGCCCUCCCGGGGCGGCUUCUGGAGUAUCGCAAAUCCGGGAUGGUCGGCUCGCGCGUUCUCGGUGAGCUGACGAGACUCUAGAGAACUCAUCCGGCGGUGGGCGGUUCACCGGCCAGCCGACGGAAACACCAAUCGGUGAACUACGCACGUAGACGCUGUGGUGGAUCUAUUCUCGGACCGGGGUUCGAUUCCCCGCGCCUCCAUCG
This 356-nucleotide transfer-messenger RNA is filed under the name Gemmatimonadota bacterium. It matches the Rfam family "transfer-messenger RNA". From Rfam's summary of the family: Bacterial tmRNA, also known as 10Sa RNA or SsrA, is named for its dual tRNA and mRNA-like properties. Its role is to liberate the mRNA from a stalled ribosome. To accomplish this part of the tmRNA is used as a reading frame that ends in a translation stop signal. Lineage: Bacteria; Pseudomonadati; Gemmatimonadota. The record is from RNAcentral.